RNAcentral lists this ribosomal RNA (489 nucleotides) under Porphyromonas cangingivalis. RNAcentral's name for it is "bacterial SSU rRNA". It matches the Rfam family "Bacterial small subunit ribosomal RNA", at positions 9 to 487 of the family's 1533-position model. The record is from RNAcentral. Lineage: Bacteria; Pseudomonadati; Bacteroidota; Bacteroidia; Bacteroidales; Porphyromonadaceae.
GAGUUUGAUUAUGGCUCAGGAUGAACGCUAGCGAUAGGCUUAACACAUGCAAGUCGAGGGGCAUCACGGGAUUAGCUUGCUAAUCUUGGUGGCGACCGGCGUAAGGGUGCGUAACGCGUAUGCAACUUGCCUGUCAGUGGGGAAUAACCCGGAGAAAUCCGGACUAAUACCGCAUACACUUUGGUUUCCGCAUGGGGGCUUUAGGAAAGAUUUAUUGCUGACAGAUAGGCAUGCGUUCCAUUAGAUAGUUGGUGAGGUAACGGCUCACCAAGUCGACGAUGGAUAGGGGAGCUGAGAGGCUUAUCCCCCACACUGGAACUGAGACACGGUCCAGACUCCUACGGGAGGCAGCAGUGAGGAAUAUUAGUCAAUGGGCGAGAGCCUGAACCAGCCAAGUCGCGUGAAGGAAGACGGUCCUAUGGAUUGUAAACUUCUUUAGUAGGUGAGUACAAGCAGUUACGUGUAGCUGUAAGCAAGUACCUAGAUAAU